AGAGCAUGAUGUGGGCAUUUCCUUAAUAGCUCCUUGAACUUUUCCCAUGUAUCGUACAAGGAUUCCCCGACGUCUUGAGAGUAGGAGUUAAUCUAGGUCAUGAGUUU
This 107-nucleotide small nucleolar RNA is filed under the name Helianthus annuus (common sunflower). Its description in RNAcentral is "sRNA HanXRQr2_Chr06g0260591". It matches the Rfam family "Plant small nucleolar RNA R71". Rfam says of the family: R71 is a member of the C/D box family of snoRNAs containing the C (UGAUGA) and D (CUGA) box motifs. Lineage: Eukaryota; Viridiplantae; Streptophyta; Magnoliopsida; Asterales; Asteraceae. The record is from Rfam by way of RNAcentral.